This 468-nucleotide ribosomal RNA is filed under the name uncultured bacterium. RNAcentral describes it as "partial 16S ribosomal RNA". It matches the Rfam family "Bacterial small subunit ribosomal RNA", at positions 28 to 507 of the family's 1533-position model. The record is from RNAcentral.
GAUGAACGCUGGCGGCGUGCUUAACACAUGCAAGUCGAACGGUGAAGGCGGAGCUUGCUCUGCUGGAUCAGUGGCGAACGGGUGAGUAACACGUGAGCAAUCUGCCCCUGACUCUGGGAUAAGCGCUGGAAACGGCGUCUAAUACUGGAUACGAGCUGCGAAGGCAUCUUCAGCAGCUGGAAAGAAUUUCGGUCAGGGAUGAGCUCGCGGCCUAUCAGCUUGUUGGUGGGGUAAUGGCUCACCAAGGCGUCGACGGGUAGCCGGCCUGAGAGGGUGACCGGCCACACUGGGACUGAGACACGGCCCAGACUCCUACGGGAGGCAGCAGUGGGGAAUAUUGCACAAUGGGCGAAAGCCUGAUGCAGCAACGCCGCGUGAGGGACGACGGCCUUCGGGUUGUAAACCUCUUUUGGCAGGGAAGAAGCGAAAGUGACGGUACCUGCAGAAAAAGCGCCGGCUAACUACGUG